Molecule: ribosomal RNA, 541 nt
Filed under: fungal sp. 57472
Lineage: Eukaryota; Fungi
Also listed under: 2 other names
Description: eukaryotic LSU rRNA
Rfam family: 5.8S ribosomal RNA (bases 175-328)
Source: RNAcentral
GGUUUCCGUAGGUGAACCUGCGGAAGGAUCAUUACCGAGUGCGGGCCCCUCGGGGCCCAACCUCCCACCCGUGUUGCCCGAACCUAUGUUGCCUCGGCGGGCCCCGCGCCCGCCGACGGCCCCCCUGAACGCUGUCUGAAGUUGCAGUCUGAGACCUAUAACGAAAUUAGUUAAAACUUUCAACAACGGAUCUCUUGGUUCCGGCAUCGAUGAAGAACGCAGCGAAAUGCGAUAACUAAUGUGAAUUGCAGAAUUCAGUGAAUCAUCGAGUCUUUGAACGCACAUUGCGCCCUCUGGUAUUCCGGAGGGCAUGCCUGUCCGAGCGUCAUUGCUGCCCUCAAGCCCGGCUGGUGUGUUGGGCCCCGUCCCCCCCGCCGGGGGGACGGGCCCGAAAGGCAGCGGCGGCACCGCGUCCGGUCCUCGAGCGUAUGGGGCUUCGUCACCCGCUCUAGUAGGCCCGGCCGGCGCCAGCCGACCCCCAACCUUUAAUUAUCUCAGGUUGACCUCGGAUCAGGUAGGGAUACCCGCUGAACUUAAGCAU